Molecule: long non-coding RNA, 519 nt
Organism: Fukomys damarensis (Damara mole-rat)
Lineage: Eukaryota; Metazoa; Chordata; Mammalia; Rodentia; Bathyergidae
Exons: 5
Source: RefSeq, a predicted model, not a curated record
CUUAAAACCCACGUCGGGAGCCGCGAAGAGCGGUCUCCUCGGCAGUUUGAGCGCACGGCAAACAGCAGGAAUACCCAAUAAAUGCCUCCAGCAAAACUCACAGAAAAACUGUUCACCAGCCCGCGCGCCGGGCCAGGGAGAGACGCUUCGCGAACCCUCUGGCGGAGGGAUCCGUGAGCCGGAGUCUCGAGCAGAGGUACAGUGUUAGUGAGGAUUCGGAGAUAAAUGAGACUUGACCCAAGACCCCAAAGAACUCAUGGUUUAAGUUGGAAAAAAGGAUGCAUAGACAGACAAAACAGUACGAGUGCAACCUUAUGAUACAGGUGCUAGGAUUCCAAGGGAUGAUAUGAGAUUGGAAAGUUUAAGAAGCUCUUGGGUCACAAUGAAAGAAACUGACCCUAGGAUGAAUGGAGCGAACGAUAUAGGUGAUGAGAAGAGGUACCAAAGAAUAUACGUCCUUCAUGAGAUUAUCCAGAUGCUAAACUAACCUUGCAGUAUGUACUAUGACUGGAUGACCUA